This is a long non-coding RNA of Sinocyclocheilus rhinocerous, 472 nucleotides long. RefSeq lists it as uncharacterized. The record is from RefSeq and is a predicted model, not a curated record. The transcript has 2 exons. Lineage: Eukaryota; Metazoa; Chordata; Actinopteri; Cypriniformes; Cyprinidae.
UCUCUCUAAUUGGUGAGAAAAUGUAAAAACCCGAAGCAGAGUUUUAAAUGAGUGAUUUCAGAACACUCGAAUGAAGAAAUCUAUUCUAUCGCUCCGUUCCAUUCAUACACGGUGUUCAAGGCCGGUUUGUAUGUGCGUUGCUGCUUAGAUACACGCAAAACUUGACGGUUUGGCUUCUUUUAAACCAUUUCCAACUAAUUGACGAAUUUUUGCCUGAAAAAUUGGACAGUUUGCCGGACACCCGAGGAUCAAAAUAAGGAUGAAAUGAAGCCAAGUGAAUGGCCGUCAGUUGAGCAGGCGGAUGAGAGUGGCUCAGUGAUCGCUCAUGUUUAUUCUCUAUUCAGGCUGAUGUUUGUUGAGCGCUGCGGCGGAGCUGCGCUGAAUCUGAUCCUCCUCCCCACACGCGCUCACUCUGACAAAUUAAGAGUCCCUGACAUGACAUUUUUCCAAAAUAAAAGUUGGCAAGAGAGAA